UGUUAAAUCUUUCAUUCGUUUGUAGUGUUAAAAACUGGUCUGGUUAAUUGAACGACCAGACAGUGACACGUGGCAUGCCACUUAUACCUUAUGCUAAUGUAUAAUGACUUGUUUUUAACAGUAGAAAAAUGAAUGAAAUUUUUAACA
Non-coding RNA from Gossypium hirsutum (cotton), 147 nucleotides. NCBI's taxonomy places the organism in Eukaryota, Viridiplantae, Streptophyta, Magnoliopsida, Malvales, Malvaceae. The record is from Rfam.